CUCAGGCUGUUAGCAUAAACGAGCUACUUCCUAACUGCAAACUUAACGCCCAUGUUAAAUAACUUUAAAAUCUGCAUGUGUAUAUGAAUUUCUCAGAAAAUUCAUCAGAGGAACUUAAAAUUUCAAUCACUGUUAUUCUUUGGUAUGGAGAAAAAAAUCUUACAUGAUGUGGCAGUAUAAUAACCUGCAAGCUGGUUCAACCUGAAGAAUACUCUUCUGUUUUUAUACUUCAAAAGAGCUACUAGAACUUACUUGACCUUAAAAAAAAAAAGUCUUCAAAGUGGAUCUGGAGGUGGUCAGACAACAAGGGAAACACAGGAGAGCACAGAUGAUGUCUCAAUCAUCAUUGUGUCCGCAAUGUCAAGAAAGCACAAUUCUCAUCACAUAGCAAGUCCUCCAGAAAUAGACUGGAACACGGAUAACAAAUACCUGCUGGGUUUGCUGCCACUACUACUUAAUCCUUCCUCUAUAGCUGGCAUUGCUAAUCACUCAUGACACUUUCCUGCUGAGCCCACAUGUAGACUCAGAUGGCUACAGGCAGUAACCACCAAUUGAUCAGAGCUGGCACACAAGAUGGAACCUAUUUGCAAUCCCUGGUCUAGAACAUUGUACCAUCUCUACUGAGCUGCUGCUUUGGGACUGACUUUACCAGGAGGCUCACCACAGGGGGUUGGAGUAGUCCUAGAAGGUGAAUAAAUGGCAGAGCCCACAUGGCAUACAA
Molecule: long non-coding RNA, 721 nt
Filed under: Homo sapiens (human)
Lineage: Eukaryota; Metazoa; Chordata; Mammalia; Primates; Hominidae
Description: HSALNT0349293
Source: RNAcentral